UAUAGUUUCACAGUGAAGUAAAAAGUUCUUAUAUAUCAGAGAAUAAGAACUUUUUACUUCACUGUGAAACUAGAUGCA
RNAcentral lists this microRNA precursor (78 nucleotides) under Pelobates cultripes (western spadefoot toad). The record is from RNAcentral. Lineage: Eukaryota; Metazoa; Chordata; Amphibia; Anura; Pelobatidae.